Molecule: long non-coding RNA, 550 nt
Organism: Anguilla anguilla (European eel)
Lineage: Eukaryota; Metazoa; Chordata; Actinopteri; Anguilliformes; Anguillidae
Exons: 2
Source: RefSeq, a predicted model, not a curated record
AUCUGAAAUUAUUUAAAUCUUAUGAAACCAGGGCAGAAUUUGAUCAAAAGAACUUCACUCUGCUGCUGAAGAACGUGCAGGAGAGAGACAGUGGGAUCUACACAGCAGAGAUAACUGAUGAAGAAGGACAGCGAAGACAUGUUGCUUCCUACAGGCUCACAGUUCAAGAGGCCCCGCCCACACCCGAGGUGGGAGUGGCUUUACUCUCCUCUGCUGGAGGGUUCUGUAAGGUGUCAGUGAACUGCUCUGCUAAAGACACCUGGGCCAGCUACACCUGUGACCACGCCCACUGCACACGGGUAGCAAAUACAACCUCACCGACAGGAGUCAAGAUCACUGUCACGGCAACCAAAGAGGCCAUCUACUGCAGCAGCAGUAACCGGGUCGGCACAAAGACGCGAUCAGAAUCCAUAAAGGACUUCUGUAAGUCUGUCUGUCUGUGCAUAAAACCUGCAGGUCUGUCUGUGCUCUUCUCUUUCCUUGUGUUCACAUGGAAAACAUUCAAAAUAGUAAACUAACACAAUUCAUCUUCACAGGUUUAAACCACAGA